Talpa occidentalis (Iberian mole) is the source of this 106-nucleotide small nuclear RNA. Lineage: Eukaryota; Metazoa; Chordata; Mammalia; Eulipotyphla; Talpidae. The record is from RefSeq and is a predicted model, not a curated record.
GUGUUUGCUUCGGCAGCACAUUUACGGGGAUGGGAUGAUACAGAGGAGAUUCGCAUGGCCCCUGGGCAAGGAUGGCACACAAAUUUGUGAAGUGUUCAAUAUUAAA